GGCCCAGCUUAUGCUAACAUGUCUACCUCCCUACUGGGCAGGAAUCGGGCGCCUGAUUGCUGAGUGUCAUCUCAACCCCAUCAUCCUGCCCCUGUGGCAUGUCGGAAUGAAUGACGUCCUUCCUAACAGUCCGCCCUACUUCCCCCGCUUUGGACAGAAAAUCACCGUGCUGAUCGGGAAGCCCUUCAGUGCCCUGCCUGUACUCGAGCGGCUCCGGGCGGAGAACAAGUCAGCUGUGGAGAUGCGGAAAGUCCUGACGGACUUCAUUCAAGAGGAAUUCCAGCGUCUGAAGACUCAGGCAGAGCAGCUCCACAACCACCUCCAGCCUGGGAGAUAGGCCUUGCUUGCUGCCUUCUGGAUUCUUGGCCUGCACAGAGCUGGGGCUGAGGGAUGGACUGAUGCUUUUAGCUCAAAUGUGGCUUUUAGACAGAUUUGUUCAUAGACCCUCUCAAGUGCCCUCUCCGAGCUGAUGUUCUCUCCCGGGGGCUGGCGUCAGGAGGGAGCAUAGAAGGCAGGUGAGCAACCAGUUGGCUAGGG
RNAcentral lists this small RNA (537 nucleotides) under Pongo abelii (Sumatran orangutan). Its description in RNAcentral is "retained intron". The record is from RNAcentral. Lineage: Eukaryota; Metazoa; Chordata; Mammalia; Primates; Hominidae.